Molecule: ribosomal RNA, 516 nt
Filed under: Ophiodes intermedius
Lineage: Eukaryota; Metazoa; Chordata; Lepidosauria; Squamata; Diploglossidae
Description: partial large subunit ribosomal RNA
Rfam family: Bacterial large subunit ribosomal RNA
Source: RNAcentral
CAUAGCCUCUAGCACAAAAUAUUAGAGGUCCCGCCUGCCCAGUGACACCAACCUGUUAAACGGCCGCGGUAUACUAACCGUGCAAAGGUAGCGUAAUCACUUGUCCCCUAAAUAGGGACUAGUAUGAACGGCUAAAUGAGGGCCUACCUGUCUCCUUUAACCAAUCAGUGAAAUUGAUCUGCCAGUACAAAAGCUGACAUCAACCCAUAAGACGAGAAGACCCUGUGGAGCUUCAAAUGAAAAUCAACCCUAUACCAUGAACCACCAUUUUUAGUUGGGGCGACUACGGAAAAAAACCAAACUUCCAAGCCACAAACCCACCAAGACCAACAUGUCCAUCACUGACCCAGUACCACUGAAUAACGAACCAAGUUACCCCAGGGAUAACAGCGCUAUCUUCUUUCAGAGUCCCCAUCGCCAAGAAGGUUUACGACCUCGAUGUUGGAUCAGGACACCCAAAUGGUGCAGCCACUAUUAAUGGUUCGUUUGUUCAACGAUUAAUGUCCUACGUGAUCU